Molecule: ribosomal RNA, 681 nt
Filed under: uncultured Flavobacterium sp.
Lineage: Bacteria; Pseudomonadati; Bacteroidota; Flavobacteriia; Flavobacteriales; Flavobacteriaceae
Description: bacterial SSU rRNA
Rfam family: Bacterial small subunit ribosomal RNA
Source: RNAcentral
UAGUUUUCGGACUAAGAGACCGGCGCACGGGUGCGUAACGCGUAUGCAAUCUACCUUUUACAGAGGGAUAGCCCAGAGAAAUUUGGAUUAAUACCUCAUAGUAUAGCAGUUUCGCAUGAAACCACUAUUAAAGUCACAACGGUAAAAGAUGAGCAUGCGUCCCAUUAGCUAGUUGGUAAGGUAACGGCUUACCAAGGCUACGAUGGGUAGGGAUCCUGAGAGGGAGAUCCCCCACACUGGUACUGAGACACGGACCAGACUCCUACGGGAGGCAGCAGUGAGGAAUAUUGGACAAUGGGCGCAAGCCUGAUCCAGCCAUGCCGCGUGCAGGAUGACGGUCCUAUGGAUUGUAAACUGCUUUUGUACGAGAAGAAACACUCCUAUGUAUAGGAGCUUGACGGUAUCGUAAGAAUAAGGAUCGGCUAACUCCGUGCCAGCAGCCGCGGUAAUACGGAGGAUCCAAGCGUUAUCCGGAAUCAUUGGGUUUAAAGGGUCCGUAGGCGGUUUAGUAAGUCAGUGGUGAAAGCCCAUCGCUCAACGGUGGAACGGCCAUUGAUACUGCUGAACUUGAAUUAUUAGGAAGUAACUAGAAUAUGUAGUGUAGCGGUGAAAUGCUUAGAGAUUACAUGGAAUACCAAUUGCGAAGGCAGGUUACUACUAAUUGAUUGACGCUGAUGGACG